ACGUAUCUCUGACGGGGUGCGGAUCGCCCAGCUCCGGCCCAAACGGGUCGUGCAGCGGGCGGCCGUCCCUGUUCAAACCUCACAAACCCACUGUGAACCUUCACGGCGGAGGGGGUGCGGUCUGUGCCGUGCCCCCGAUGCCGCAUACCAAACUCCAGUUGCAAAGAAUGUAUUGCGGACCUGUGCCGCCUAAACACAUAA
This 201-nucleotide unclassified non-coding RNA is filed under the name uncultured fungus. RNAcentral describes it as "sequence contains ITS1, 5.8S rRNA gene". The record is from RNAcentral. Lineage: Eukaryota; Fungi.